This 301-nucleotide ribosomal RNA is filed under the name uncultured bacterium. Its description in RNAcentral is "partial 16S ribosomal RNA". It matches the Rfam family "Bacterial small subunit ribosomal RNA", at positions 509 to 807 of the family's 1533-position model. The record is from RNAcentral.
CAGCAGCCGCGGUAAUACGUAGGGUGCAAGCGUUAAUCGGAAUUACUGGGCGUAAAGCGUGCGCAGGCGGUUAUAUAAGACAGAUGUGAAAUCCCCGGGCUCAACCUGGGAACUGCAUUUGUGACUGUAUAGCUAGAGUACGGCAGAGGGGGAUGGAAUUCCGCGUGUAGCAGUGAAAUGCGUAGAUAUGCGGAGGAACACCGAUGGCGAAGGCAAUCCCCUGGGCCUGUACUGACGCUCAUGCACGAAAGCGUGGGGAGUAAACAGGAUUAGAUACCCCGGUAGUCCCUGUCUCUUAUAC